Molecule: ribosomal RNA, 409 nt
Filed under: uncultured bacterium
Lineage: Bacteria
Description: bacterial SSU rRNA
Rfam family: Bacterial small subunit ribosomal RNA
Source: RNAcentral
CAGCAGCCGCGGUAAUACGUAGGGCGCAAGCGUUAUCCGGAAUUAUUGGGCGUAAAGAGCUCGUAGGCGGUUUGUCGCGUCUGCCGUGAAAGUCCGGGGCUCAACUCCGGAUCUGCGGUGGGUACGGGCAGACUAGAGUGAUGUAGGGGAGACUGGAAUUCCUGGUGUAGCGGUGAAAUGCGCAGAUAUCAGGAGGAACACCGAUGGCGAAGGCAGGUCUCUGGGCAUUAACUGACGCUGAGGAGCGAAAGCAUGGGGAGCGAACAGGAUUAGAUACCCAGGUAGUCCAUGCCGUAAACGUUGGGCACUAGGUGUGGGGGACAUUCCACGUUUUCCGCGCCGUAGCUAACGCAUUAAGUGCCCCGCCUGGGGAGUACGGCCGCAAGGCUAAAACUCAAAGGAAUUGACG